GUGCUCACUUUGGCAGCACAUAUACUUAAAUGGGACCAAUACAGAGAAGAUUAGCAUGGCCCUUGUGCAAGGAUGACACAUAAAUUUGUGAGGUGUUCCAUAUUUUU
This is a small nuclear RNA of Ictidomys tridecemlineatus (thirteen-lined ground squirrel), 107 nucleotides long. Lineage: Eukaryota; Metazoa; Chordata; Mammalia; Rodentia; Sciuridae. The record is from Ensembl.